Long non-coding RNA from Eleginops maclovinus (Patagonian blennie), 5696 nucleotides. RefSeq lists it as uncharacterized. The record is from RefSeq and is a predicted model, not a curated record. Lineage: Eukaryota; Metazoa; Chordata; Actinopteri; Perciformes; Eleginopidae. The transcript has 2 exons.
UCGCAGCCAUACGGGCUGUGCUCCCCCAGCUGAACUGUAUCUGCAUUUGAACGGUGGGAGAAAAGACGCUAUAUGGCAAUGUGCUCCUCCCUCCACCCUGCCAACCUCAUCUGUCAGCCAUUAGUUAAUCAGGGCUGGUCGCACAGAGCAGAGAGCUGGCACCGUUCGUGGGACCAGAGGACAGCUUCACCUCUGAGAGCAAGAAGAGGGCAAGGACUCAGAGACCUCUGCUUCACCGAGGUACAGCUGGGCUGCUUCACUCAGCAGCAGCCACUCAGGACUGGCAGGCGUCAACCUCAAGAUGACCCCGCCCACUGCAUUACUGAGAACAGGUAAGCCAAUCGGACACAUGGAAACUGUUAGGCAUUUAAAAAAAACUCCACUUAAAUAUCUGUCACUCAGCCAAUGUGGCUAUCAAAGCAGCUAAUACUGAACAGUACCUCCCACAGAGAAGGUAGAUUCCACAAAACCAACAAAGAUCAAAACGGCUUUGUAGAGAUGCAUUUAUUUGCUCAAUAAUCACCCUAGCCUUAAGCACUGCAUGAAAACAUGUAUUACAGUGAAAACUGUAAUUACCCUACACAAGUCUUUUUGUUUGGUCAUAAAAGUGUGUUUUGAAAACAACGGUUUAUGGGGCCAAGAAAUCAAACGGACCUCAUAAAAACCAUAUCGAGAGUCUUGGCAACAUUUUGCCGGAUCAGUAGAAAAUAAUUCUGUAGUUCAUUAUUGCUUUGCAUGCUUGUUAAUUAUGAAUACGUUAUGCUAAAUAUUGAAUGAAAAUGUAUAAAAAAACUAAAUCUAUUGAAGGUUGAGCCGAGUUAGCGAUACACCUUGAGCGCUGAGAAAGAAUGCUCUAUGAAGUAUUAAGAAAAGGUGGUUGAAUACCAACAGAGACCACAAAAGAGUUUGUUUUAUUUUUCACAUAUUUAGUGAUUCUAAGUGAGACCAUAUCUUAUAAUGUGAGAGCCAAGGUCAAAUUCCAAUCACAUUGCAGCAGGCUUGCAAUGCAAGAUGAUGGUAAUACCAAGCAUAUGCUAUCUGCAGUUACAUAGACUUUUCAAAGGAGCUCAGUGUUGACCCGGAGCAAGAACAAACUUGCAAGUGUAGACUGUGAAGGGAAUUAUACCCUGCGCUACAAGUGUGUCAAGGCUGUGAGCUUACCACGCUAUGUAGUCAACCAUGCUCAAGCUGAAUGUCAAAUGAUCUGUACAACAAAUCAAGAGCAAGACGUAAUAGUGAGGAACUGAAUGCACUCUAAGAUAGUGCCGUGUCUAUUGUUAUAGCUUAAUCAGAAUCAGCGUGUCCUGUGGUGCAUAGAUUAAACUGCAAAUCAGAAACAAAGAAGAGAGGAAAAUAAAGGCUUAGAACAUUCAGGAUGCGUUGCUGCUCAUGGCUUUGUUUUGCAGGGAGGUUUCAAAGACAGAAGUCAAAACAACACAUGUUGUCAACAUGGGAACAGCUGGUAAGAGCGGCGUCAUGGGGGAGAGGAAUGUCAAAAGUCAUAGAUCUUUUAUCCAUCAAGCCAAAAUAGCUACCCAGACUUGUUUGAAACCACGCACAGGGGCAGUGUGAAAUUUAUAUAUGCAACCAACCUCACGCUAACCUUUACUAACUUUAACCAAUCUCACAACUUGCUUUGAACUAAAGAAACCAAAUGAUGUUUGUUUUUUUCAAUACAUGCAAAUAUAUCCACAAGAAAAAUACAUUUUUCUUUAGCUAAGAGUAAAGUACAGUAAAGUAAUGAAUUUCAGAUGUUACAAGUUGAUGUUACUACAUUAUUCAUCCAAGAUUGAAGUGAUUGUAUGAAAUAAUUUCCUGUCUCUGUCAAUAGAGCUCCGGACGGACAGUCAGCUGCAGCGCUCUUAUGAUUGGCUAAAACUAAACAGCAUAUUCUCCACAAAGUAUGCCAUAUUUAAAGAGUUAAAUAAACAGCCAGUGGAGUAGGCAUAUACAGAUACCUUAACAAAGUUCCCUUUUUAAGUCAACACCACUCAGAAAAGAUACACUAAGAAACCAUAAGUCAAAACGAAAUGACAAAACAGCCGAGUUUAUCCGUCUGUCUAAACAUUCCUCUGAGAGCUUUUUCCAUUACCGUGUCGUACUGAAACAUGUAGCGCUGCUCUCUACAUAGGUUUGAAGUGAUGAAGGACUUUAGGAAAUAUAGAAAAAAGCUAUUUCUUGAUGACAGAAUUUGAAAAAUACAGCAGUGCAGCCCUAAACUUAUAAAGUAGUGACCUUUGACACACAACAUUCAAGUCUAAGUCCCUCUUCCGGCGAAAUGUUACACAGCUGCUUUUCCAAUCCGUCAUAGCAACCAGCUUGCCACAGCUUGCAUACAGGGAAGUAUGGAACAUUUCCAAGAAGUGAAUGAUCCUGGUACAGGGGAAAAGAAGAUAACAUAUAAAGCAAGUGAUGGAACAGAAGUGUUUUCCAAAAUUGCUAUUGAUUUGAAUAUUUUAGUUUAUUUAAUUAUCUGAACAAAACAUGACAAUUUCCCCAAUUUUUCAAUGUCUUAUGCCAAGUAACGAAUCGAUUAAUCAGGAACUGUUAUUUGCAGCCACAAACACCCAAGGGUGGACUGAAGCUUGAAUGAUGGUGCAAAGUACAGAACAGAAACUCAAAUAGUACAAAACAAGUACAGCUUAUUCUCCUGCCCUCUACGGUACAUCUAAACCAUCCCAUAGUCAUGAAUGUUGAGGGUUAAAUAUGACUAUUAGCUCCGUUAGAGAGUUUGAACACCCAAUCUGUCACUGUCUCACCCCUAAUAGGGGAAAAAGGCUUCCUGACAUAAAUGUCGUGUCCCACAAACUCCAUUUCACUCCAUCAACUCGAUAGCAUCGACAGGCCCAAACAGGACCAGGCCCCGUCGAGUCUGACGUUAGAGUCAUGCGAGAAGAACAAAAGUGGAGUCUGAGAAGCGACUCCUAGAGGCUUAAAACCACUUUAUAAUACUUGACCGACAACUUGAGGAAAAGCAGGCGCACUCUACCUGUGUCAAAGUGAGGCCAUGUUCCCUAUCAUCAUCAGUCUGGGGUAGACCAACCUAAACGCUUCCAGACUUUCACGCCUCUCAUUUCUUCUUACUGCAUCUGCUCCCAAAAAAUAACAUCUAGCUCCUCUCUUAAUUUCUGCACAAACUCAUUUAGGUCCAGGUCAACUCUUAUUCUUUUCCAGAUGGGGCUUUCCUUUUACUGCAGAGAGAGCAUUAAUAUAAUCUUGUAACUGCUCUCUAAGCUACAAUAAAAUGUAUGGAUUUUUAAGUGCUGGCGAACAUGAUGUACUUUACAGUGGGUAAUGUAUUAACUUAUCUGCAUGUUUUUAGACUGCUGACCCCAAAAGAGGGUUCCAUUGCUAAUGUGAAAGCCGUGCUGUGAUCCAAACAUUUAUAAUCCUCAGAUAACAUCUCAGAGCAUCUGGUUUUCUGCCUCCCACGUGCUUGACUUUUAACCAGAAAAUCAUCAACUGAACUAUUUUGCUUUCUCUCAAAGGCAGAAUUGAAACAUUAACUCCCAGUUUAAAUUAAAGCCAUGACAAGAAGCAUGCUGGUGAGGACAAGUGGUGGUGGUGGGGGGGGGGACCUUCCACCACCGCUUCAAUUGCUAACACUCAACUGGCAUAUGGGCAAGAUCAGGAAACACGAGCCCAAUGAUGUCACGACCACCUGACCCCAGGAUGACAGGUUUGCAAAGUGUUCUUGUCCACUGCCCUCAGGCCAAAGUCAAGUAUGUCAAUGUUGUGCAUGUGGAUUUCAUUUGAAGCAGCAUGAUUAGUUCACUGACGCUCAACUGAGAUCCCCCACUCCAUGGGAAACCCACCCCGAACAGGAAACGGUAUGUUUUUGUUAGCAACAAACAGGCAUAAAUUACUACAAUCGUACCGUGGUUGCCAAUUUAUCACACACAGCCGUAUUGUUGCUGUUUGACAUCGACAUGUUUUUAAGGUAAUUACCAUUAGUUAAUGAUAUUUACAGUUUGUGUUGAAAUGUGUCUGCCAUCAUACAGUUUUGCAAUAAAUUUGAGAAUUGUUUUGUGUCUUUUCUUCUUUAUAUAUGAAAAAUGAGCUUUGACGACCUGUAUUUGAAGCUGUGUCUGCAUGAAGGUCCAGAGGGGAUUUGUUUAUAUUUUGAAGAAAUAAAUGACUUAUUUGCAUUAAAAAGAAUAAUUUUGACAUAAUUUGGGCUUUUUUCAACAUUUACUAUUAGCCUUAAUGAGGAAAUGAGUAUAAGAAAGCAAUGCACAUUUGAUUUGGUAAUAUUCUAAGGAUGGUGGAAUAUAUAAUAAUGAAUAAACCAUUUCCCUGGUUACAAGUAUUUCAGUUUUCUUCCAGGAAUGUUGAAUAAAGAACUACAAGUAAUGGUGUCUGUUGGGUAAGAGAUGUUUUAACUACUUUCCAAAGGGUAGACUGAACUUAAUGCAAUGAUAGAGAAUCCUUUUAGUGUUUUAAUGUGUGAGAUAUAGGAUGAUAUUGAUAGAAAAUUGAAAAAACGAAGGGUAAAAUAACCUGAUUUUUUAUUGAGGUGGUACUUGUGUGACAUAACUGGUGUAAAAGUGUGAUUAUUUAGCAUGGAGAGAUGUUAUGGAGAUACUACCAACAGAAGAGGCCUGUUACAGAAGGUAAGACACUCUCUGAAGCCAUGACAAAUAUUUAGAAAAAUGUAUGUCAAGAAACCCCAGGACCAUUUCAUCACCAUCUGGUCUCUCAAAGAGUCCAAAUAUUUGCCAUUGAGACAAUGUUUGAAUUGAUUUGUAAUAUUUAAAAUGGCAACAUGGCUUCCAGUCCUGUAUGAUAGUAGGUGCAUGUAUACAGCUGAUUUAAUAUCUGGCAGAUUUUAGUCUAAUGAUAUAGUUUAAUCUCAUGUAGACUUCACUGUUGCUUAAUAUAGAGCUGCAUUAUUACUGUGUGCUUCAGUGUAGCUCAUUUGAGGUUCCAUAUUGCAGAAUAAUGUGAUAUGGUCUCCUUUGAGUUUGUUAAAGCCUACAGUAAAGUAUUAACUUGACGUAUUCCAUGAUUUGAGCCUGACAUUAGUCCUAACACAUAAAGAAGUCAUCUAUUGUUUGUUUUACUUCAAAGAAUGACCUCAUUACAAUAUCAAAUAUAAUUCAAUCAGCAGUUUUCUGUGAAUACUGGCUUUCAGGGAUUUCCUUUCGCUUAAACAUUUGCCAGCAUGCAUUAAUACCAAUUAUUGUUGUAGUAAAAGUAAUACUCUGUCGUGUCCUGCCAAAUGCUUUACAGAGAGCUCUAUUAAUGCAAUGGUAAACAGAUGUGCCACCCAACGCCAAAGUUGGAUUUCUCCAGAGGCAUUUCCAUAAAAUACAUUAAAGAAAAAAGGCCUGUGGGUUUUUUUUACAUCACAUUAUGCAGAGGUACUGUACGUAAAGUAUCAAAGAUACUAGAGACACAUUUAAAGCGUGCUCCCAAAGAAUGAAUUACAUAUAGCAGUAAAAGGGAGCCAAUCUGAAUAAAGUCAAUUGAGGUUCAAAUACCAAAAGACCACAUAAUCACCUACAAGUCAAGUCUUUUCUAAGAGCUGUUUAUAACUAACUUACACACUGUAUAAAACGUGCUGCAUGUAUGGCAUGCCCAUGGGUUACCAGAGCACAUUACUGUACUUUGAAACUACUGUAUAUGCAGUUACUCCUGCUGUGUCAACAACUGUUCCCCUGUUAAAGCAAUAAACUAUAUUCCAAGUGUUACUA